RNAcentral lists this ribosomal RNA (530 nucleotides) under Vibrio gigantis. Its description in RNAcentral is "bacterial SSU rRNA". It matches the Rfam family "Bacterial small subunit ribosomal RNA", at positions 1 to 517 of the family's 1533-position model. Lineage: Bacteria; Pseudomonadati; Pseudomonadota; Gammaproteobacteria; Vibrionales; Vibrionaceae. The record is from RNAcentral.
UAGAGUUUGAUCUGGCUCAGAUUGAACGCUGGCGGCAGGCCUAACACAUGCAAGUCGAGCGGAAACGACACUAACAAUCCUUCGGGUGCGUUAAUGGGCGUCGAGCGGCGGACGGGUGAGUAAUGCCUAGGAAAUUGCCUUGAUGUGGGGGAUAACCAUUGGAAACGAUGGCUAAUACCGCAUAAUGCCUACGGGCCAAAGAGGGGGACCUUCGGGCCUCUCGCGUCAAGAUAUGCCUAGGUGGGAUUAGCUAGUUGGUGAGGUAAUGGCUCACCAAGGCGACGAUCCCUAGCUGGUCUGAGAGGAUGAUCAGCCACACUGGAACUGAGACACGGUCCAGACUCCUACGGGAGGCAGCAGUGGGGAAUAUUGCACAAUGGGCGAAAGCCUGAUGCAGCCAUGCCGCGUGUAUGAAGAAGGCCUUCGGGUUGUAAAGUACUUUCAGUUGUGAGGAAGGGGGUAGCGUUAAUAGCGCUAUCUCUUGACGUUAGCAACAGAAGAAGCACCGGCUAACUCCGUGCCAGCCGCCG